Humulus lupulus (European hop) is the source of this 517-nucleotide long non-coding RNA. RefSeq lists it as uncharacterized. NCBI's taxonomy places the organism in Eukaryota, Viridiplantae, Streptophyta, Magnoliopsida, Rosales, Cannabaceae. The record is from RefSeq and is a predicted model, not a curated record. The transcript is spliced from 4 exons.
ACUAUUAUAUAUGAGCUCACGCAAUGCUGGCUACACCAGAUGAGAAGUCCAGAAGAUGGGAAUAUGGCUCUACUGACUUGCCGAUUGCAACUCUUUUCCCUUUCAUGUAUUUCAUGGUAAGGGAUUUUUCAGCAACAAGCAGCUAGAUCAGACAGCAAACAACAUCAAAGGUAUACUAACCACCUAGAAACUACUCCAGGAGCAAAAACUAAAGAUGAUAAAAUAAUGGACAUGAAGACUUGAAGAUGGAGAGCUAAUGAUAAAAUAAUUCAAUUACAUGAAAAUGUCUCCCAUCCAAUUUUUCAUACUUUUAAUUAUUGAACAAUAGUUGUUUUUUUUUAAAAAAAAAAAUUAAGUAAAAGUUGCAUAAAGAGACAUCUUAUGCAUAUAUAACCAUUAGAAUUGCCUUGUUUUGUCAAGGAAAACAAUAUUUGUGAUGUCAAAUGCUAACAGGAUUAUAUCAUUUCUUAAUUUAGACGAUCAAAUACAUGGCCUUAGUCAUCAUGUUAUUAAUAUA